AUUAAUUCAGAGGUCGGUACCUUAAUCUACAUUAAAGUUGUAGUUGUAGGUGUAUGUCCGUAAUUUGUGUUCCAUUUCAUGAAUAAGAUACAUAUUAAUUUUGUUUAUAUACACAAGUGGGGAAUUAUAUUUUAGCUUGUUAUUCAGCUUUGUUCAUAGUACAUUUCUCUUUAUUUUCUUACAUAUAUAUAUAUAUAUAUAUAUGUGAAUGUGAUACACAUGUUCUGACAAUACUCUAAAUUAAUCUGAGUUAUUUAUAGGGUGGAAAUGUUGUAAUUGCAGCUAUUUGCAGAUGGUGUCAUCCAAUUUGAGUAUGGCAUUAAUCCAACACAUAACCUCAAGUUUGGUUCAAUGGUAUGUUGUCAAGAAUAUUUAUGUAGUUGUGCAAGGAAAGUUUCUUUCAUUUCUUUAUAUUGUCAAUUAACAAGGUAUAUGUAAAUUUUACAUGUUUGGUCGAUGCAAGUCUGCCCCAUAGGUUUGUCUCGUUAGUCUGAUGCUUGAUUCAGUACCAUUUAUACAUGACACGGUUAGUUUUAAUAGAUUCAGUUAAGGUUGUAGAGCAUAUACUAUCUGUGAAUUAUCUAAGUCUGAAUCUUGUUGGG
RNAcentral lists this long non-coding RNA (602 nucleotides) under Fragaria vesca (wild strawberry). Its description in RNAcentral is "long non-coding RNA (FVES_LNC002767)". Lineage: Eukaryota; Viridiplantae; Streptophyta; Magnoliopsida; Rosales; Rosaceae. The record is from RNAcentral.